This 499-nucleotide ribosomal RNA is filed under the name uncultured bacterium. RNAcentral describes it as "partial 16S ribosomal RNA". It matches the Rfam family "Bacterial small subunit ribosomal RNA", at positions 28 to 507 of the family's 1533-position model. The record is from RNAcentral.
GACGAACGCUGGCGGCGUGCCUAAUACAUGCAAGUCGAGCGAAGUUUUUCUGGUGCUUGCACUAGAAAAACUUAGCGGCGAACGGGUGAGUAACACGUAAAGAACCUGCCUCAUAGACUGGGACAACUAUUGGAAACGAUAGCUAAUACCGGAUAACAGCAUUAACUACAUGGUUGAUGUUUAAAAGUUGGUUUUGCUAACACUAUGAGAUGGCUUUGCGGUGCAUUAGCUAGUUGGUGGGGUAAAGGCCUACCAAGGCGACGAUGCAUAGCCGACCUGAGAGGGUGAUCGGCCACCCUGGGACUGAGACACGGCCCAGACUCCUACGGGAGGCAGCAGUAGGGAAUCUUCCGCAAUGGGCGAAAGCCUGACGGAGCAACGCCGCGUGAGUGAAGAAGGAUUUCGGUUCGUAAAGCUCUGUUGUUAGGGAAGAAUGAUUGUGUAGUAACUAUACACAGUAGAGACGGUACCUAACCAGAAAGCCACGGCUAACUACGUG